AGAAGGGUCUCAGCAGUGGUUGACCAGGAGCUGCCUAAGGCACAGACCCAGCAAUCCCAGAAGGAGUACGGUGAGAUUGCUGGGAGCAGCUGAGAAGAUUUCAGUUCCUCCAACCCACAAGGAAGUGAACCAUCAUAAGCAACCACCCAGAGGCAUGAACAAUAUUCAUACAAAAUACUACAGAUAUUAACCAGCUCUUCACAAGGAUACAGAUUUUCUUUUUCACCAAAAACCAAGGAGACUAGUCGACUGUUAACUCCAGGAUUACUAUGCUGCUAGCACGAAGGAUCCCUGGACUUUUGUUUGAUGACAAGUCUAAAGUGUUUGGUAAAAAGAACUUGAAAUGCUGCCAUUCUUGUCAAGUUCUGAAGAGAAACCAGGUGACACACACUACCAGUUAAGGCCAUCCAACAGAGUCUGAGAAACCAUCUGUCAGAGAAGAGCAGAGGAGGAUGUGUUUAUAUAUGUGUGCUAAAAAGUGUAGAAGAGUUAAUGAUAUGUUACACUGAGCCAUGUACAACAGCGGCAAAGUGGUGGAAGUCAAAAUUGUGGGGUACUUUCUCUCUGAAGCGGCCUGGGAGCUGUUUGUGAAGCAUGUGGGAGAUACACAGAGGUACAGAUAACAAAUACUGUAUCUGAUUACUAUCAUACUAUUAUACACAGGUGCAAAGAGUUAACAUAGUCCUUUGGGGAUGUGUUACACAUUUGCAGGAAGGAAGACAAUGGUUCUACAUAGCCAAAACAAUACAGGCAUCAAGACCUGUUCUGUCCAACUUCAAAGUGGGGGCACAGUCACUCCCAGUGUAGGACAGAACCAGGUCCCUAAUAGGGCUGUGGAGAAACCAGCUAAAGAUUAUUGACUUGCAAAUGAUUUUGACCAGCUGUAGUGAACACAGAGGACUUGAGAAGGAGAAAAUCCCCAGGAAGGGACAAAAUGCUAGAAAGGGUUGUUGAAAGGAGACUGUCUCUAGCAUGGGGAGAGGAGAUCAGAACCAGCAGAGAAGGCUGGAUGGGAGAAAAAGGAUCCUGGACUCCUUGGAACA
Long non-coding RNA from Chelonia mydas (Green sea turtle), 1043 nucleotides. RefSeq lists it as uncharacterized. Lineage: Eukaryota; Metazoa; Chordata; Testudines; Cheloniidae. The transcript is spliced from 3 exons. The record is from RefSeq and is a predicted model, not a curated record.